This 1203-nucleotide ribosomal RNA is filed under the name Triticum aestivum (bread wheat). RNAcentral's name for it is "partial small subunit ribosomal RNA". The record is from RNAcentral. Lineage: Eukaryota; Viridiplantae; Streptophyta; Magnoliopsida; Poales; Poaceae.
AUGCCUCGGCCGCAAGAAGGCAACAAGAGGGCCGCUCUGGCCCGCGGCGAGGGCAUCAUCGGCGCCCUACCGGACGAUCUCCUGCAGCACGUGCUCUCCUUCCUCCCGGCGCAGCAGGCCGUGCGGACCUGCGUGCUCGCCCGGCGCUGGCGCGGCCUCUGGAAAUCCGCCACAGGCCUGCGCAUCACCGGUGUCCAUGAGUCGGAGGUGACGCCCGUCCAGGAGCUCCGCCUUCUGCUCCUUCGCUGUCGAGCGCCGAUCGACACGUGCGAGCUCAGGUUCGCCGUGGUCUCCGACGACGACGUGCCCCGUGUGAGCCUCUGGAUCCGGCACAUUAUGCUCUGCCAAGUUCGGCUGCUCCGGCUCGAUAUCUCUCGGGACGGCUAUGGUGUUUACUUUUACGUAGACAACCUGCCUCUUGCCUCUCAGCAUCUGACGAGGCUAGAGCUCAUUGACACAGGGUUAAACGACAGCUUCCUCGAUUUUGCCGGCUGUCCGGUGCUGGAAGAUCUAGUAAUCAUCAAUGGCUGUUUCGUCCAUGUCAGGAGGAUCUCUUCAAAGUCUCUAAAACGCCUGGCCAUUGCUGAUAGCAGUUUCAAUCAGCAUGCCCGUACUCGUAUUUACGCUCCAAGUUUCGUUUCUCUACGACUCGAGGACAACUGGGACAGGACUCCUGUGCUUGACAGCAUGCCGUCGUUGAAGGCUGCAUUCGUCAGAUUUAUCAAAGAAUCUGUGGACAGGUGUUUUUAUUCCGACUCUUGGGAUUGCCACAACGAGGACUGUCAAGGUUGUUACGAUCUACAGGCUGUUAACUCUCAUGACUCGGUGCUUCUCAAAGGUUUAUCAGAGGCUGAGAAUUUGACAUUGAUAGAUGAACAUGACACGUUUAUUUUCAGAAGGGAUUUGAUAUGGUGCCCUACAUUUAGUAAGUUAAAGACCUUGUUACUCAAUGAAUACUGGUGCGUGCCUGACGACUUCCGCGCACUAGCUUUUAUUCUUGAACACUCACCAUUUCUGGAGAUUCUCACUCUUCAGUUCUUUUCCAAGGGACCUAAUCAUAAAGUGGAAAUAAAAGGAGGUUACAAUGCAGUGGAGACCUCAGCUGCAAUAUCAAAACAUCUUAAGGCAGUCGAAGUCAAAUGUAACUCGGUUGAUGCGGAGGUUCUCAAAAUUUUGAAGUUCCUUGGUACACUUAACAUAUGA